CAACAAACUAACAACCACAGCAGAUAACAGCAAGGCAACAGCUGAUUAAAUAAAUGAUUUUUGUAUUUUUUUUUAUUUUUACCUCUUUUCGGCUAUAAAAGGCAGAUUGUACAUUGUAAAGGGGACGAACGCAAGAAAUAUAAAUCCAAAUAGCAAAAAAGAAAAAAUAGAUUAUUCAAAGACCUUGACAGGUCAUUGAAGUCAAGAGUAAGGAUAGAAAAUGGAGAAUACCUAGAAGUGAAGGGAAAAGGCACAUCGGCAAUAAAGAGCUGUGAUGGAACUUAGUUGAUCUCAACUAUUCUAUUUGCACCUGAGAUUGAUCAAAACUUGCUGAGUGUAGGGCAAUUCGUGGAGAAAGGAUUCAAAGUGAUGCUUGAAAAGGGAAGGUGUCUUAUCCUUGACUUUAGUGGCAAUGGAUUGUUUAGGAACAAGAUGCAAAAGAAGAACUUCUCACUGAAUCCACUCGAGAAGGAGCAAGUGGCAUCCAACUGUUAAGGAGAAAUGACAUCAAAUCAAAUGGACCUUUUUACUAAGCAAGUUAAGACAAUUAUGAAAUUGAUGACACAGUGUAAUGAAAAGUGUUUUAAGCUUGAGAUAAAAUCAACAGCUAAUCAUAUCUUGCAAGAAUAACUGCAAAAAAAAAAUGUUCUGAGAAUAA
Long non-coding RNA from Gossypium arboreum, 658 nucleotides. RefSeq lists it as uncharacterized. The transcript has 2 exons. The record is from RefSeq and is a predicted model, not a curated record. NCBI's taxonomy places the organism in Eukaryota, Viridiplantae, Streptophyta, Magnoliopsida, Malvales, Malvaceae.